GGGUCGUUAGCUCAGUUGGUAGAGCAGCGGACUUUUAAUCCGUUGGUCGCGCGUUCGAGUCGCGCACGACCCA
Bordetella sp. H567 is the source of this 73-nucleotide transfer RNA. It matches the Rfam family "tRNA". From Rfam's summary of the family: Transfer RNA (tRNA) molecules are approximately 80 nucleotides in length. The record is from Rfam. Lineage: Bacteria; Pseudomonadati; Pseudomonadota; Betaproteobacteria; Burkholderiales; Alcaligenaceae.